GUCGUCACAAGUUUUAACUCAAAAUAUACACUAUCUUAACUGAGACACUACUAGCAAAAUCUCCAAAAUGGGUAGCCUCUUACAAACAGCUUUUACUUCUAACUCUGUUCUCUGAUACAGAACUGAACAUUGAGUAAGCUAAAAUCAUGAACAGUGAUUAGUCUGGAAGGAUUAUGUACCUCUCAAGAGCUCAGGUAGUAAUGCAUGAAAGGCAAAAAUCAGGCUUUAGGUUUUAAAAUAAAGACGUUUCUUUUAUUCAUCAUUUUAGUGCUUAUUUUAAGACUCGUUAGAGAGACACAUUUUUCAAUAUUCACGGCUAUUACAAUACUCUGUUAAUGAGCUUUCUGCACCAUGGGGGAGGAGUGAAGUAUGAGAGAGAUUAAGAGAGAGAGAGAGAGAGCAUGCAGGGUUCCUUCAGGAUAUCAGUAAGAAAGGCCUGACAAGAAAUGGCAUAAUAAAAUAGGUAUUUUAAUAAGGUAGAAUAAAAAGAGGAUUACAGACAGCAAGUAAAUCAUCCUUCACUUCAGAUUCUGUGGGCUACACAUUCAUGCAGCUUCAGAUGGACCCCAUAUGGAUUUUUCUCAUGGUAUACUGUAGAAACUCUGUUUCUGGAGACAGACUCCUCUUCCAUCCUGAACAGUGGUGCCCUUUGUUUUGCAUAACAAACAAAAUUACUGGUGUCCUGACAAUCUGUAAUGUUAUCUCUGUCACAACAUCCACAGCAUACAGCAUAGCCUGGGGCACUCCAGCAGAUUCCUUCACAGUGACUGGUCAUGCUAAGUUCUUCAAGAAUCUUUGAUUUUAAAGAUACAAGAACAUACAAAAACCUGCCAGCUGUAACCUGCAACAGCCUUCAAACUCAAAGAAAAAAAAAAAAAAAAAAAAAAAAAAGAAGAAGAAGAAAAGACAAUAGGUCUGCUCAUAUGAGUGAGUCUCUUGCUGUUUUGGUCAGGUUUGUGAGACUGAGUCCUAAAAAACAACAUCCAUGGGGUGUUUUUCAAUGUUUGAUUCAUUUACUAACUGGCUUUAAGUCAUCUGAAGAACAUGCCAUAUAUUCAGCUGGGACACUGGCAUCAUUCUCAAGUGUUCUCAAGAUGGCCAAGGUUUGAAGACAUUAACUCUUUCUUUAGGAAAAGGGAAAAAGGUUUGACAGCUACAUAACUGCAUUAGAGACAUUCUUUCUAAUGAUUUAUGUUUUCCCUUAUUUCACAGACAUGUCAGGGUGCAGAGGUUCUGAAUAGUCUUCACGUUGGUGUUGUGUGGCAGGGUGAGAAUUCUCCUUUUGUAAGUAAAAUUAUUUAUCCCAUAUUGCAAGCAUUUAUCGAAAACAAUACUAUAACACAACAAAGCAUCAUGAUUCAAUGAUAAUAUUACAUUGGGCCACAGGAAAUCUAGCUUCUUAUAUUGACCCUGAUAUGUGCUUCAGCGACAGUGGAAAACAGAUUUGAUUUUUUUUUAUUUAUUUUUUUUUAAAAUAAUGUAUGGAUGAGCAACUCCAGAACUUAGCAAAUUGCCUGCAUCACCCAUGGUAUAAACCUUACCUAAAAAAAAAGAAAGUGAAAAAGCAAUGAGGGAUUUUAAAUAUUGUAUCUUUAAAUAUUUAUUUUACUCAAACUGCAUGAUGAGGAAAGACACUAAUAUAUGAAGCAUAAAGAAAGAAAAAUUAAAACAAAGUGCUAGCUGGGUACGUAAUAGGCAGGUUGACAUUUCUAAAUGCAGUGCUCAAUAUACUGUUUCUUUAGUUUCUCUUUGAAAAUGAAACAUUUUUCCAUUUUUCUGAAUUGAAAGCAGCAUCUUACAUAUUAUCCCUCCUCACUCUCAAGGAAACAAACUUUUAUUACUUUUAAAGAUAGUUAAUGCUUAUUGUAAACAGUUUUUCAUUUCCUCUACAAAGACUUUUAAAUAUAAAUAUUUUCUCAAAGUCUUUUACUAUUCCAAACUUCAAAGAAGAAACUGAUUAUGAAAUUCUUCCAAGAUGUCUGUAAAUAGUGUAUGAUUAUAAGAUGUUUGAGUUGAAGUAACAGGGUGAAAAGGGAUCACAUGCAGAGACUUACCUUUUGAAGAGACCAUGUUAUAAGGUCACAGUUGAUGCACUGCAGGUCUCUCUCCUCUCUCUCUCCUGCUUGCUCACUCACUCAAAAAAAAAAAAAAAAAAAAAAAAAAGCCCUAAAAGCCCUGAUAUUCAAAUUUCAUAAUCAAGUAUUCUAAUAGAACACAACAGUUUCAUUAAUUGUGAAACCAUGAAAGAUUACAAAUAUUACCUCCUUAAACUAUAGAGUACUGCCACCACAUUGGUGACAGGUUUUUCUUUACUAUUAAAAAUCAAUAGAUUAUGUGGUCACCUGACAGUGCAAACUUUCAGGACUAGUCAAAGCUUGUUUUGGGCUGAAUGUGUCAAAUAACUAUUGGUAGUCUACCUACCACCCCACCUGUUUUAGAUGAAGUUCUGUGAAUGCCACCUGUGGUAAACUGAGGUAAAUAAAAAACAGUAGCACUUGAUGUCA
This 2504-nucleotide long non-coding RNA is filed under the name Anas platyrhynchos platyrhynchos (common mallard). RNAcentral's name for it is "lncRNA (ENSAPLG00000024065.1)". Lineage: Eukaryota; Metazoa; Chordata; Aves; Anseriformes; Anatidae. The record is from RNAcentral.